GAGUGAGGGACGGGUUAGUGAGUGGAUCCGAGAGCAUACAAACCCGACCCGACCCGAUCCUUCUCCCGUUUCACCCCUCGCCACAAAUUCGCAAACUGAAUCCGCUUCUGGGGGGCUCUCUUCGUUUUUGGCUUGGGCUCCUCGUUUCCAAGCAACAUGGGCCACCACCACCACCACUACGGCCACCAUCACGGCCACCACCACUGCCAUGAGAGUGAUAGCCCGUUCGACGACCCCCUUCUUGGCCUGCUGCUGCUGCCCCUGCGUUCUGGUAACUUCCAUUUUUAAGGGUAUCGAACGAUGUGUCUUUGCCACUUGCUACCCUUUUCUCCGAUGCUUUGGCUGGGACGAACAUAGUCAUCACCACCACCACCACCAUAACUACCAUAGCCAUUUCGCUUAAAUAAGUUCUCAGUUUAUUUUACAUCGCCAUUUAUAUUAGCGACGAAUGAUAUUUACUACUUGGCUUGUGAGACAUUUUGUCGGUAACAACCGUUUAUAAUGGGAAUCCGAUGAGCUACUCAAAGUUUGAAGGCUCCAUGUAUAUGUUAGUAAUUGGUAUUAAGUGCCGUGUAGUUCUUUUGGGUUCAAAUGAUAAUUGAAUACGGCAUUACUAGUGCCAUGAAAAUCAGUUUAGUGAUUUUGCUACAA
This is a long non-coding RNA of Ananas comosus (pineapple), 651 nucleotides long. RefSeq lists it as uncharacterized. NCBI's taxonomy places the organism in Eukaryota, Viridiplantae, Streptophyta, Magnoliopsida, Poales, Bromeliaceae. The record is from RefSeq and is a predicted model, not a curated record. The transcript has 2 exons.